UGCACCAUUAACAUAAAUCCUUGAAUGAUUUUACUUUAAAGGAGUUUAAAGGUGCCCAGAUGUGUCCUUGACCAUUUAGUGUUCUCGAAGGUCACCAUACUGGGGUCCCUGUUUUGGAGCCUUGGGAAUGAGAGAUUUGCCAUCUCUGGAGAAAUUUUUCAGCAGGAAAAGAUUAUUCUACUUUCCCCCCUUUGUUCUCCUUC
This 203-nucleotide long non-coding RNA is filed under the name Pan troglodytes (chimpanzee). RNAcentral's name for it is "long non-coding RNA NONPTRT009151". Lineage: Eukaryota; Metazoa; Chordata; Mammalia; Primates; Hominidae. The record is from RNAcentral.